This 2889-nucleotide small RNA is filed under the name Pan troglodytes (chimpanzee). RNAcentral's name for it is "retained intron". The record is from RNAcentral. Lineage: Eukaryota; Metazoa; Chordata; Mammalia; Primates; Hominidae.
CUUUAUGAGUACAAGUAUUGUACUGAUGUAGACUUAAUAUUUCAAGAAACUUGUUUUCCUGUUCAUCGUGCCAUUUUGGCAGCAAGGUGUCCAUUUUUUAAAACACUGCUUUCUUCCUCACCAGAGUAUGGGGCAGAGAUAAUAAUGGACAUCAAUACAGCUGGUAUUGAUAUGCCCAUGUUUUCUGCUUUGUUACACUACCUUUAUACAGGAGAGUUUGGAAUGGAGGACUCAAGGUUUCAAAAUGUCGAUAUCCUUGUUCAGCUUAGUGAAGAAUUUGGAACACCAAAUUCCCUUGAUGUAGAUAUGCGUGGACUCUUUGAUUACAUGUGUUAUUAUGAUGUCGUCCUUAGUUUUUCUUCAGACUCUGAACUGGUUGAAGCUUUUGGUGGAAAUCAGAACUGUUUAGAUGAAGAGCUCAAAGCCCACAAGGCUGUUAUUUCUGCACGGUCCCCAUUUUUUCGAAAUUUAUUACAAAGGAGGAUACGAACUGGUGAAGAAAUCACAGACCGAACUUUGAGGACUCCCACAAGAAUUAUAUUAGAUGAGUCCAUUAUACCAAAAAAAUAUGCAAAAGUGAUAUUACACUGUAUGUAUACCGACGUGGUGGACCUCUCUGUUUUGCACUGUAGCCCCUCUGUGGGGAGUCUCAGUGAAGUUCAGGCUCUCGUCGCAGGGAAGCCAAACAUGACCAGGGCAGAAGAAGCCAUGGAACUUUACCACAUAGCACUGUUCUUGGAAUUUAACAUGCUUGCACAAGGCUGUGAGGAUAUCAUUGCUGAGAGCAUCUCAUUAGAUACCUUAAUUGCCAUCCUCAAGUGGAGUUCUCAUCCAUAUGGCUCUAAAUGGGUGCACCGACAAGCUUUACAUUUCCUCUGUGAGGAAUUUUCCCAGGUCAUGACUUCGGAUGUUUUUUAUGAACUCAGCAAAGACCAUCUGCUUACUGCUAUCCAGUCUGACUACCUACAGGCAAGUGAACAAGAUAUCCUUAAAUAUCUGAUUAAAUGGGGAGAGCAUCAGUUGAUGAAAAGAAUAGCAGAUAGAGAGCCAAACUUACUGAGUGGCACUGCCCAUAGUGUGAACAAAAGAGGUGUAAAAAGACGGGACCUGGACACGGAAGAGCUCAGAGAGAUCCUUUCUUCUCUCUUACCUUUUGUGCGAAUUGAACACAUCUUACCUAUAAACAGUGAAGUCUUAAGUGAUGCAGUAAGUGUUUUUCUCCAUGUAUUCCUUUCAUGAAAAGAAAAAUGCCAGGUGUAUGUUUUUAUUCAUUGUAAAUAAUUUCUGCUACUAAUAGAGUAUUGUGAAGCUGUAAUUCUGUGAGGACAGAGACAGAUGUCUAUUGUGUACGAUGUUGUAUCUCCUGUGUCUGCCACAUAAUACAGUUAAAAUGUUCAGUGAAUGAGAGUUGAGUGGGUAAAUAGGUCUUACUCAUGCAAGAGCAUUAUUUCUAGCAGAGUUAAUUCUGUCAUUUAAGUGUAGAUCAAGUAGACCCUUAUUCAAAAAGGGAAAGGUAGAAAUUACCUUUGAAGAGUCUUCAAGAACAGCAGUGAAUCAGAGAGUAGUGGAGUGGAGGGAUUGGUUGAAUAGAAAAAGAAUUGAUGGACCUGAAAAUUAAUAGAGCUCAUCUUGUUACUUUCAUAAUUUUUUAAACAGUGAAUUUUUAAAAAAUUAAUAUAAUUGGCUGGGCACGGUGGCUCACUCCUGUAAUCCCAGCACUUUGGGACGCCAAGGCAGGUGGAUCACCUGAGGUCAGGAGUUUGAGACCAGCCUGGCCAACAUGGUAGAACCCCAUCUCUACUAAAUAUACAAAAAUUAGCCAGGCGUGGUGGUGCAUGCCUAUAAUCCCAGCUACUCGGGAGGCUGAGGCAGGGGAAUUGCUUGAACUGGGGAGGUGGAGGUUGCAGUGAGCCGAGAUUGAGCCAUUGCACUCCAGCCUGGGUGACAGAGCGAGACUCCAUCUCAAAAAAAAAAAAAUUAAUAGAAUUGCUGGAAUUCAUGGAUGGGAAAAAUAAAUAUUAUAAAUAUUAGUUCUUCACACAUUGACUUAUAAACUUAAUGUAAUGCUUAUAAACAUCAUAAUAUGUUUUUUCUAACUGCACAGGAACAUUAUAAAACAUAAAAGUCUUCUGGAAAAAAAACAGAAAACAUAAUAAUAAACGAACUAUCACAAGUCAAUGUGGUGCUAGAUUAACUGAUUAGCAGAAGAAGAAAUUUAUUGAAAGUUAAACCAUCGUUUCACUGGCACACAAAAUUAAUCCUUGUUAGACUGAAGAAUUAAAUACUAAAUGGAAACAUGGAAGAACUAGAAGAAAACAAUAUUGUUUUCAAGAAGUAUUUAUGGGCUACUCUGGGCAUACUGCCUAUGGGGUAGCCCUGCUCCACAAGGAGCAGUAAUAAAAAUAAAUAAAAACAAAACUUAAAAAAAGAAAUAUUUGUGGAUUCUGAUUAGAAAAAAAAAUUCACCCUCACUAAUUACACACACACCAGAGAAAGCAAAAUGAAACAGUUACCAUUUUUUCACCUGUUAAGGUAGUAGUUAUAGUACCACUACACAACAGAAUAUUUUGCUCCCCUGAACAGUUGUUAUAAAGACUGUAUAGUGGCCGGGCGCGGUGGCUCACACCUAUAAUCCCAGCACUUUGGGAGGCCAAGGCAGGUGGAUCACCUGAGGUCAGGAGUUCAAGACCAGCCUGGCCGACAUGGCAAAACCCUGUCUCUACUAAAAAUACAAAAAUUAGCCAGGCAUGGUGGUGCAUGCCGUUAAUCCCAGCUGCUCGAGAGGCUGAGGCACAAGAAUUGCUUGAACCCAGAGGCAAGCCAAGAAUGUGUCACUGCACUCCAGCCUGGGUGACAGAGCAAGACUCUGUAUCAAAAAAAAAGAAGAAA